CAGAAAAUAGUUUAAAAAAUAUUAAUUUUGGAGAUUAAAGAUGGAAGUAAUUUUUCUUUUCUGA
This 64-nucleotide transfer RNA is filed under the name Scolytinae sp. BMNH 1040080. RNAcentral's name for it is "tRNA-Pro". The record is from RNAcentral. Lineage: Eukaryota; Metazoa; Arthropoda; Insecta; Coleoptera; Curculionidae.